ACAGGCUUAACACAUGCAAGUCGAGGGGAAACGACAUCGAAAGCUUGCUUUUGAUGGGCGUCGACCGGCGCACGGGUGAGUAACGCGUAUCCAACCUGCCCACCACUUGGGGAUAACCUUGCGAAAGUAAGACUAAUACCCAAUGACGUCUCUAGAAGACAUCUGAAAGAGAUUAAAGAUUUAUCGGUGAUGGAUGGGGAUGCGUCUGAUUAGCUUGUUGGCGGGGUAACGGCCCACCAAGGCGACGAUCAGUAGGGGUUCUGAGAGGAAGGUCCCCCACAUUGGAACUGAGACACGGUCCAAACUCCUACGUGAGGCAGCAGUGAGGAAUAUUGGUCAAUGGACGAGAGUCUGAACCAGCCAAGUAGCGUGCAGGAUGACGGCCCUAUGGGUUGUAAACUGCUUUUAUAAGGGAAUAAAGUGAGUCUCGUGAGACUUUUUGCAUGUACCUUAUGAAUAAGGACCGGCUAAUUCCGUGCCAGCAGCCGCGGUAAUACGGAAGGUCCGGGCGUUAUCCGGAUUUAUUGGGUUUAAAGGGAGCGUAGGCCGGAGAUUAAGCGUGUUGUGAAAUGUAGACGCUCAACGUCUGCACUGCAGCGCGAACUGGUUUCCUUGAGUACGCACAAAGUGGGCGGAAUUCGUGGUGUAGCGGUGAAAUGCUUAGAUAUCACGAAGAACUCCGAUUGCGAAGGCAGCUCACUGGAGCGCAACUGACGCUGAAGCUCGAAAAUGCGGGUAUCGAACAGGAUUAGAUACCCUGGUAGUCCGCACGGUAAACGAUGGAUGCCCGCUGUUGGUCUGAAUAGGUCAGCGGCCAAGCGAAAGCAUUAAGCAUCCCACCUGGGGAGUACGCCGGCAACGGUGAAACUCAAAGGAAUUGACGGGGGCCCGCACAAGCGGAGGAACAUGUGGUUUAAUUCGAUGAUACGCGAGGAACCUUACCCGGGCUUGAAUUGCAGAGGAAGGAUUUGGAGACAAUGACGCCCUUCGGGGCCUCUGUGAAGGUGCUGCAUGGUUGUCGUCAGCUCGUGCCGUGAGGUGUCGGCUUAAGUGCCAUAACGAGCGCAACCCCUCUCCUUAGUUGCCAUCAGGUCAAGCUGGGCACUCUGGGGACACUGCCACCGUAAGGUGUGAGGAAGGUGGGGAU
This 1147-nucleotide ribosomal RNA is filed under the name uncultured bacterium. RNAcentral describes it as "bacterial SSU rRNA". It matches the Rfam family "Bacterial small subunit ribosomal RNA", at positions 42 to 1180 of the family's 1533-position model. The record is from RNAcentral.